UAGGGAAUCUUCGGCAAUGGGGGCAACCCUGACCGAGCAACGCCGCGUGAGUGAAGAAGGUUUUCGGAUCGUAAAGCUCUGUUGUAAGAGAAGAACGUGUGUGAGAGUGGAAAGUUCACACAGUGACGGUAACUUACCAGAAAGGGACGGCUAACUACGUGCCAGCAGCCGCGGUAAUACGUAGGUCCCGAGCGUUGUCCGGAUUUAUUGGGCGUAAAGCGAGCGCAGGCGGUUUAAUAAGUCUGAAGUUAAAGGCAGUGGCUUAACCAUUGUUCGCUUUGGAAACUGUUCAACUUGAGUGCAGAAGGGGAGAGUGGAAUUCCAUGUGUAGCGGUGAAAUGCGUAGAUAUAUGGAGGAACACCGGUGGCGAAAGCGGCUCUCUGGUCUGUCACUGACGCUGAGGCUCGAAAGCGUGGGGAGCAAACAGG
This 429-nucleotide ribosomal RNA is filed under the name bacterium. RNAcentral's name for it is "partial 16S ribosomal RNA". It matches the Rfam family "Bacterial small subunit ribosomal RNA", at positions 355 to 776 of the family's 1533-position model. The record is from RNAcentral.